AGGUCCAGCUGGUCCUAGAAAGAAACGUCCGUGCUGCGUUGAGGUCACCAACCUCGAUAUGAUCACUGAGAUGCUGAGGCUGAUACGACCGGCUCCCCUUAUUUUGACUCCGGUCAGUGAGCCAGACCACCGGUGGAAAUGUCUGUGAAGAUCCUCUCCGUCACUCUCCUCCUGGUCUCAAUGUGUGUGUGCUGCCACUCCUCUGAAGGUAACUGUGCUUUUACUUUUAUAAAGAAAAAUAAGGAAAAAAAGAGAUAAAAUAGAUUAUUUGAUCGCAGCAAUGACUAUCUCCAACAAUGGCUUCUGUAAAGACCACAAACCUUUACAUCAGUCAUAUUCUGGUAUCUGCUCAGUCUAUAAUUGCACAUGUUUUUUCC
Long non-coding RNA from Oreochromis aureus, 377 nucleotides. The record is from Ensembl. Lineage: Eukaryota; Metazoa; Chordata; Actinopteri; Cichliformes; Cichlidae.